AGGUGCCUAUAUCGGCGGUGUCCACCUCUUCCCAUUCCGAACAGAGAAGUUAAGCCCGCCAGAGCCGAUGGUACUGCAGUAAAAUGUGGGAGAGUAGGUCGGUGCCAAAUC
RNAcentral lists this ribosomal RNA (111 nucleotides) under Mucilaginibacter xinganensis. The record is from RNAcentral. Lineage: Bacteria; Pseudomonadati; Bacteroidota; Sphingobacteriia; Sphingobacteriales; Sphingobacteriaceae. RNAcentral also lists the same sequence under 1 other name.